GUGAAUCAUCGAAUUUUUGAACGCACAUUGCACUCUCUUCGAAGAGUAUGCGUGUUUGAGUGUCAGACUAAAAAAAAACGACAUUGUUGUUGUUCCGUGGGGUCAUUCGUCGGAAAUUGGGUCAUCUUAAACUUUUGGGUUUUAAGAGGCUUAAGAUUUUAUUUACGGUUUCACGAACGUUCCUAAGGUUUUAUUUUCUUAUAUGUUUAUGGUAUCGAUCUUUAUAAGACGUGG
Molecule: unclassified non-coding RNA, 234 nt
Filed under: Glomus sp.
Lineage: Eukaryota; Fungi; Glomeromycota; Glomeromycetes; Glomerales; Glomeraceae
Description: partial contains 5.8S ribosomal RNA and internal transcribed spacer 2
Rfam family: 5.8S ribosomal RNA (bases 1-65)
Source: RNAcentral